RNAcentral lists this ribosomal RNA (253 nucleotides) under uncultured bacterium. RNAcentral describes it as "partial 16S ribosomal RNA". It matches the Rfam family "Bacterial small subunit ribosomal RNA", at positions 524 to 776 of the family's 1533-position model. The record is from RNAcentral.
UACGUAGGGGGCUAGCGUUGUCCGGAAUUAUUGGGCGUAAAGAGCUCGUAGGCGGUCCGUCACGUCGGAUGUGAAAUUCCAGGGCUCAACCCUGGACCUGCAUUCGAUACGGGCGGACUAGAGUUCGGUAGGGGAGACUGGAAUUCCUGGUGUAGCGGUGAAAUGAGCAGAUAUCAGGAGGAACACCGGUGGCGAAGGCGGUUCUCUGGGCCUUACCUGACGCUGAGGAGCGAAAGCGUGGGGAGCAAACAGG